Molecule: long non-coding RNA, 1537 nt
Organism: Homo sapiens (human)
Lineage: Eukaryota; Metazoa; Chordata; Mammalia; Primates; Hominidae
Gene: NR2F1-AS1
Product: NR2F1 antisense RNA 1
Source: Ensembl
GAAACGAACACGAUUAAAAUAGACCAAAAGAAAAGAAAGAAAAGAAAACCUUUCUAUGUACAGAUUCUAAAUCGUACUCCCCAUACAGUCAGAGGCAGGGAGUCGAGGGCAGAGGCAGCAGGCGGAGAGAGGGAGAUAGGGCGAGGGAAGGAGAACGCGGAGAGAGACGAAGGGAGUGGGAGACCAGCGACAGCGAGCGCCAGGGCACCGCAGGCACACUGGAUGCCCAGUCCGCCGGCCCAGCCGCCCUCGGACCCUGGACCGUGCGUCGUGGGCACCAGAAACGAGACUCGGCCAAAUCCUGCCUCACCAGCAGGUAGAUGAAACUCAAGAGAAAAGGUGUGGAUAAAUGAAACUAGCCCAUGAUGAACCUGUUUUCUCCGUGACCACAAUAUUAACCAGGAUGAAUGGCGGUGGCAGUGGGCCUGCAUCACAGGUUGCAGCAGAUGUUCUCAAUAUUUCUAUUAAAAUUUCCUUAUUUCCAUAUGCAAGAGGAGCCCCAGAGCUGCAUCCUUAUGGUAGCUACCAUGCCGUGAUGUAAGCUGCCAUUCACUGGGGAGCUUUGGCAAUAGAAUUGGCUAGAUCAGGAAGCCUAUGUCAACUAUGGAACAACAACUUGCAGCUCAUCUCUAUUGAUGAGUAAAAGAAUAUGGAAUUUUAGCUCCAGAUCAAUUUCAAGAACAAAUCAGGAAUCCCGAGAGGACCCGCAGACCCUCUGAAGGAAGCAGACUGCUCCUGUAGAACCCGGGAGACACCCCAAAUACUGGGAGUGCCCCAACUGCAGAAUUGGGAAAGGGAGAGCCUCCUGUACUGAACACACAGCUCCACUGGAGAAACUGAAGAUACUCUCUCUUCCUCCUGAGGGGCUGCUCGUGUGCUGAACUGAUGCCUUCCAAGCAAUAGGAUGGAAAGUUUACCCUUUUAUGGGCCCUUAUCAAUAUUUUCAUCAUAUCAAAGGGAGAAGCUACGUUGGAGCUGUGAGGCAAAUAUCGUUUUGAAUUGGAAGUCACUUUGACUUUGCAUUUUUAAUUGUAUUAACAGCAGUGUACUGGAGUAGCUUAGAAAAUGUUUACAACUUGGCCCAGUCAACAGACUUAUUUACUGAAUAAUUUUCAAAAAUUAGGUUAAAAUGUACAGCAUUUUCUCUGCUAUCUCUGCCAGUUGGUCUUUGAGCCAAGCCAAGCCAAACCAAACCAACCAAACUACACAAAAAAGACCAGGUUUGCAUGUUGAAUCUGGAAUGUUUUGAAUCCAAGGAAAUAACUUACUUAUUCACGUUUAGUUGGAGUAACAUGUUUAUGGGUACUAGAUUUUAAUGCCAGUAGUUUGAAUGGGUGCUUUCAUGCAUAUUUACUUACUUGGUUGACAGAGCACUAGAUAUCAAAUGUGGAGUAGACUGCUUAGGGUUGCAUGAUUCAGAACGUGGGCAUGACAUCUUGUCUUUGGGUCUUGAUGAGCAAACACUUUAUCUCAAGACAGUGUCCUCUAGCUCAUAAAUAUAUUUUACUAAUGAUGCAUAAAUAUUAAAAAGAAAUAU